UCCCCGGUAGCUCAGUUGGUAGAGCAGCGGAUUGUUAAUCCGCCUGUCGCUGGUUCGAGUCCGGCCCGGGGAGCCA
This 76-nucleotide transfer RNA is filed under the name Alphaproteobacteria bacterium. RNAcentral describes it as "tRNA-Asn". It matches the Rfam family "tRNA". Rfam says of the family: Transfer RNA (tRNA) molecules are approximately 80 nucleotides in length. Their secondary structure includes four short double-helical elements and three loops (D, anti-codon, and T loops). Lineage: Bacteria; Pseudomonadati; Pseudomonadota; Alphaproteobacteria. The record is from RNAcentral.